UCAAACUUCAGCUCUCCUGCUGGCCCUGAUGGAGCGAUCCCUUGUUGAAAUUUCUUCUGUUCCAGCUGCUGUACAGCCUGAAGAUUAUCCUAUCAUACUCUUGGACACUGAGGAAGGAUGACUACUAUCUGAUGUCACACUGAGAAUCAGAGCAGAGAGCAGCAGAUUUCACUCUGUGAUAGAAUUUGGUGGCUGGGCUCAAGCAAACCUCCUGUCUGAGCAGCUGGAACUACGGAUGGACAUCACUUCAAGGGGCCCCGUCAUUCCUUGAAAGCCACAUCUCAUCUGCUAAUACUCAGGUUUCUGAGCCUCCUGCAUCGCCACAGUCCCUGCAAGUCACACCCCCUCAG
This is a long non-coding RNA of Peromyscus leucopus (white-footed mouse), 350 nucleotides long. RefSeq lists it as uncharacterized. The record is from RefSeq and is a predicted model, not a curated record. NCBI's taxonomy places the organism in Eukaryota, Metazoa, Chordata, Mammalia, Rodentia, Cricetidae. The transcript is spliced from 3 exons.